GAACAACUUCCAAAGAAGAGAAAAGUAGUAUUAAUGGCCCCAACACGACGCCACACGACACCACUAUCUAUCUAACUGCCUACCUCCAUUAAUGCACCUAAACCCUAACCCCAUGUAUCACAAUCUCAUCUCCAUUUCCCCAUCUCAUGAAAUUCUAAAAAUCCCCCCAAGCAAGACACUGCCAAGUUAUCUCGUAGAUCCCACCGUCGAUUCAAUUAAUUGUUCCUUUCGGUAUCUGCUGCCCUCUGUUCGUCUGCAGGCCAGGUACGGAAGCGAGUAGUAAAUGAUUUGGGGGAAACAAAAUUCAAACAAGAGCUAGUGAGGAAGUCUGGGAAAAAGGUCCCCUCGAUCCUGUUCAAUUCUGACGCGGAUGGAUAUCUUUGAUCGACUGUAUGUUUCCCAUUUCAAUUGCUACGAAACCAGAGGCAUCGAUCAAGGGGAGUCUUUCAAACCAUUCCUUCUUUUUCUUAAUUUUAGAAAAUUGCUUGCUGGCUGUACGUGUUACUGUUUGGUGCGUGUCUGCUACUACUGCCUGAUAAAUAAAUUAAUUUAAACAUAUCUAGGUUUGUGAUUGUGGAAAACCCUAAGAGUGAUUCAGAACUGCAGCUCGAUUUGAUUGAUGUCUUUCCAAAAGGGGAGUCGUCUUUGAUUUCCAGAUCUACCCAUCCUUUUACUGCACAUGUGGAUGAGAAUUUUUGGGCCAAAAGAAAACUGAAAAUAAAUGGUUGGAAGAGAGAGAGGGGGAGGAAGAGAGAGGAAGAAAAUUGACAGAAGAGAGUGAGCACAGGCAGACAAUUGUAUAGAGAGAUAUGCCUUUGUGGGUGCCUGUGCUCGCUUCUCUUUUGUCACCUUCCCUCUCUUAUUUCCUUUCUGGUUUUUCCACCAUUAAUCAUCACAUCAAUUUCUGCUUUUCCUUUUCGACACGCUAAUGAAGCCUUCAGCUUCAGGUCCAUUUUUACUUCCUUCUUGGCGCAAACACAGACACACAGUUCAGUUGGAGGGGGAGAUGUACCAAUCUUAAAUUAUUGGUGAGACAUGGUUUGUUUAAGCCUCGUGUAGACAAGUCUAUGAUCCCUUUGAUCCAUUGUCUAUGGAGAUUGGAGACAGUAAGUUUGAUAGAUAAACUUCUUUACAUUCAAUUUUCAAAUGGGAUGUGAUUUUUGCAAUUAGAAGUCAAUUGUGUGAUCAAAUUUGUUCUUUUAUUUAUUUUUGUGCCUCCUUCAAUGAUUAUUUAGUAAUUGAUUGCAUCACUGCUUCUGGCCUCAUACUUCGGAGUAGUUUGUGGUUUUGGUCUUAAUAUUCAAACAUCACAUUAGACUUUCAUGAGCUUAUGAGAUCAAAAUUGCCAAUUAUUACAGCUCAAGAAAUCAAAGUUCAGUAUUUUUUUUUUUUGGGAUGAUGUGAAACUCAUGCUACUCACUCUGGGUAAACUAUUGGCCCAACUUAAUGGUCAUCAAACUAAGCUCAAGACUUGGAGACGUGCGGGGAUUUGAAUCCAUGACCUUACGGUUAUGAGUUUACCUUCGGACCACCAGAUUAUUCCUUCCGGGAUGUAAUAUGCAAUAGUUUCACUUCUAGACUACAUUGAAUUAGGCUUGGUAACCACUUGAUUUGGUUUGGUUGUUAUGUCUUAUGUCUUUUAAAUGAUGGUGUCUUGAUCUAUAUCAUAAUCAGUUCGAUUUAGUAUAGAUUCAUAUAUAAGAGUUUGAAUCAUCAAA
Molecule: long non-coding RNA, 1718 nt
Organism: Andrographis paniculata
Lineage: Eukaryota; Viridiplantae; Streptophyta; Magnoliopsida; Lamiales; Acanthaceae
Exons: 2
Source: RefSeq, a predicted model, not a curated record